UAAUACGGAGGAUGCAAGCGUUAUCCGGAUUUAUUGGGUUUAAAGGGUGCGUAGGCGGGGCCAUAAGUCAGCGGUGAAAGUUUGAGGCUCAACCUUAAAAUUGCCGUUGAAACUGUGACCCUUGAGUAUAUUUGAAGUAAGCGGAAUUCGUGGUGUAGCGGUGAAAUGCAUAGAUAUCACGAAGAACUCCAAUUGCGAAGGCAGCUUACUAAACUAUAACUGACGCUGAAGCACGAAAGCGUGGGUAUCAAACAGGAUUAGAUACCCUGGUAGUCCACGCCGUAAACGAUGAUUACUAGCUGUUUGUGAUAUUACAAUAAGCGGCUAAGCGAAAGCGAUAAGUAAUCCACCUGGGGAGUACGCCGGCAACGGUG
This 374-nucleotide ribosomal RNA is filed under the name uncultured bacterium. RNAcentral describes it as "bacterial SSU rRNA". It matches the Rfam family "Bacterial small subunit ribosomal RNA", at positions 521 to 896 of the family's 1533-position model. The record is from RNAcentral.